This 706-nucleotide long non-coding RNA is filed under the name Cyanistes caeruleus (blue tit). RNAcentral's name for it is "lncRNA (ENSCCEG00000020363.1)". The record is from RNAcentral. Lineage: Eukaryota; Metazoa; Chordata; Aves; Passeriformes; Paridae.
GGUAAAUCAUUCCCAUUGGCAUUCUCAUGGGGCCUCAGGAAGGGUUGUCAGCAGAUUAUCCAGUUUAAUACCUCCUCCAGACCCCCUGUCACAUCCUGCACUUCCCCAGAACUCAAUGCCACUAAGGUUCUGUUGUCUCCCAGUCCUGUAUUGAACCUGGGGGUGAGUCAGCUCCCUGGGGCAGGUACAUUCCGUUCUGGCAGUGGCAGCCUGUUCAGGCAUUGCCUCUGUGAGCUGAGAGGACUUGCAGUCUUGUUUGUGGGGCUGGCACAGCACCUGCCCUCCCCUUCGGGCGGGUACAGCCUUUGCAUAAAGGAUGAGGAGGCUGUCAGGACAUUGGCACAACACCUGUGGGUUUUGGCCAAUCUCUCCUCUUCUCUUCAUUAUCUCAAAGCUUGUGGUAUGAUCUCGGUGCAGCAGCCAGGUGUAGGGGACUUCUGGAGAGAAGAGGAAGGAAGGAGGCUGGAGGUGGAUCUGAGAGUUUCUGGGUAAAUCGGAUCUGAAAUCAUCUGUCCAAGUGCAAGAGGGGAUUUUUGCUAGGGCUAGAGUCUUGUUAGAGUUGGAAGUUGUCCCUGUAGACCAACACAUCCCCCUUCUGUGAGCAGAUUUCUCCUGGAAUGCUGAGCAUUUGUUUAUGGUGAGUACAGUUGUUAUAAGCAAGAUAUGAAAUAGAAGGAUAUGAAAAUAAAACCACAGCUGGAAAUCA